RNAcentral lists this ribosomal RNA (465 nucleotides) under Vreelandella stevensii. RNAcentral's name for it is "partial 16S ribosomal RNA". It matches the Rfam family "Bacterial small subunit ribosomal RNA", at positions 338 to 795 of the family's 1533-position model. Lineage: Bacteria; Pseudomonadati; Pseudomonadota; Gammaproteobacteria; Oceanospirillales; Halomonadaceae. The record is from RNAcentral.
CCUACGGGUGGCUGCAGUGGGGAAUAUUGGACAAUGGGGGGAACCCUGAUCCAGCCAUGCCGCGUGUGUGAAGAAGGCCCUCGGGUUGUAAAGCACUUUCAGUGAGGAAGAACGCCUGGUGGUUAAUACCCAUCAGGAAAGACAUCACUCACAGAAGAAGCACCGGCUAACUCCGUGCCAGCAGCCGCGGUAAUACGGAGGGUGCGAGCGUUAAUCGGAAUUACUGGGCGUAAAGCGCGCGUAGGUGGCUUGAUAAGCCGGUUGUGAAAGCCCCGGGCUCAACCUGGGAACGGCAUCCGGAACUGUCAAGCUAGAGUGCAGGAGAGAAAGGUAGAAUUCCCGGUGUAGCGGUGAAAUGCGUAGAGAUCGGGAGGAAUACCAGUGGCGAAGGCGGCCUUCUGGACUGACACUGACACUGAGGUGCGAAAGCGUGGGUAGCAAACAGGAUUAGAUACCCUUGUAGUC